CCCUGCCCCAUAGGUGCCUUGUCCCUGCCCCAUAGGUGCCCUAUAGCUGCCCCACAGCUGCCCUGUCCCUGCCCCAUAGGUAACCCUACAGCAGCCCCAUACGUGCCCCAUAUGCAUCCCCUAACCGCCCCACAGCAGCCCUAUAGAUUCCCCCCACAGCAGCCCUAUACGUGCCCUAUAACUGCCCCAUAGGGAACCCUAUGGGUACUAUACUGCCCCUAAACCAGCCCGCCCUGACG
Long non-coding RNA from Grus americana (Whooping crane), 239 nucleotides. RefSeq lists it as uncharacterized. The record is from RefSeq and is a predicted model, not a curated record. The transcript has 3 exons. Lineage: Eukaryota; Metazoa; Chordata; Aves; Gruiformes; Gruidae.